This 500-nucleotide ribosomal RNA is filed under the name uncultured bacterium. Its description in RNAcentral is "partial 16S ribosomal RNA". It matches the Rfam family "Bacterial small subunit ribosomal RNA", at positions 30 to 523 of the family's 1533-position model. The record is from RNAcentral.
AUUGAACGCUGGCGGCACGCCCUACACAUGCAAGUCGAACGGCAGCACGGGAGCAAUCCUGGUGGCGAGUGGCGAACGGGUGAGUAAAGUAUCGGAACGUGCCCAGUCGUGGGGGAUAACGUAGCGAAAGUUACGCUAAUACCGCAUACGAUCUAUGGAUGAAAGCGGGGGAUCGCAAGACCUCGCGCGAUUGGAGCGGCCGAUAUCAGAUUAGGUAGUUGGUGGGGUAAAGGCUCACCAAGCCGACGAUCUGUAGCUGGUCUGAGAGGACGACCAGCCACACUGGGACUGAGACACGGCCCAGACUCCUACGGGAGGCAGCAGUGGGGAAUUUUGGACAAUGGGCGAAAGCCUGAUCCAGCCAUGCCGCGUGCAGGAUGAAGGCCUUCGGGUUGUAAACUGCUUUUGUACGGAACGAAAAGGUUUGGGCUAAUAAGCUGAGCUCAUGACGGUACCGUAAGAAUAAGCACCGGCUAACUACGUGCCAGCAGCCGCAGUAA